GCGGUGGCUCUUCUCUCGCGUUGCUUUCGCUGCCGCCCAGCCCCGGGGUGUUGGGCGUUUCACCGACGGGUGCGGGAGGAGUGCGGCGGUCGGAGCUCGGUGACUUUCAUGGGUCUGUGCACUGACUUCAGGCUGUACGGGUAAGAGGUCAGAGUCUGGAGAAGGCACUGAAGAAGAUGCAGGCACACUGAGGACUGCAGAAAAAUGAGCCAUGCAUUUUUCUGAAAGCUGAGAAGUAGC
Phasianus colchicus (ring-necked pheasant) is the source of this 240-nucleotide non-coding RNA. The record is from RefSeq and is a predicted model, not a curated record. Lineage: Eukaryota; Metazoa; Chordata; Aves; Galliformes; Phasianidae.